Molecule: ribosomal RNA, 301 nt
Filed under: uncultured bacterium
Lineage: Bacteria
Description: partial 16S ribosomal RNA
Rfam family: Bacterial small subunit ribosomal RNA
Source: RNAcentral
CAGCCGCCGCGGGAAUACGUAGGGUGCAAGCGUUAAUCGGAAUUACUGGGCGUAAAGCGUGCGCAGGCGGUUCGCUAAGACAGAUGUGAAAUCCCCGGGCUUAACCUGGGAACUGCAUUUGUGACUGGCGGGCCAGAGUAUGGCAGAGGGGGGUAGAAUUCCACGUGUAGCAGUGAAAUGCGUAGAGAUGUGGAGGAAUACCGAUGGCGAAGGCAGCCCCCUGGGCCAAUACUGACGCCCAUGCACGAAAGCGUGGGGAGCAAACAGGAUUAGAUACCCGUGUAGUCCCUGUCUCUUAUAC